UUUAUGAUUUGGACGAUGAAAGUUGAAAAGAAAAUAGAAAAAAGUCUUUGCAUGAUCCUUUGAAUGUUCGGAAGGAUUCAAACAAAGAUAUUCCGGAAUCCUCUAAAUCAAAGGUUGCACAAAUACACAAACAAAAGAGAAAAGCAUCAGCAACCACUAUUGCCAGGCCGACAUUACUUCGGCCACUCAAGUACAAGAUAAAAAAGAUACCAACGCAUCCCAUAAGAUUUUCUAUUGGUUGAAGAUGGUAGAUAUCAAGAUUAUCCUUGGGGUCAACUAUCAUUCUCAAAACUCAUCGGUUCACUUAGACAGGAUUUUAAUGUUAGUAAAAAAUUAUAUCGAUUAUAUGGGCUGCCGUAUGCACUUAACGUAUGGAUAUACGAAUGUGCAUCCCAAUUAAAUCCUUAAAUUGUGCCAAAGAACGAAAUGUCAUCCCAAGAAUGUGCAAUUGAAGAGUUGUGUUUGAUAAGGCAAAGUUUGAAAUGCUUAUGUCUACCACUUUUGAAGAGAAUGCAUGUUCAAACAUUGUCCCAAUAGCAGAGGAACUUGAAGUUUUUGACCUAGUUGAAGUUGAACAUGCUCCUCCUUCUUCACCACCCUUAGUACAACCAAAUGAGGAAGAUGAUUUUGAUAAUAUCUCCACUAAACCUCCCGAACAGUUAUUGAGGAGAUCUUCUAAAGUGCCUGAUACAUCUCUUCCACCACCCCCCAAAAGAAGAAAAAAAGUGGUUAUACAUAAAAAAAAAAGAUUUCAGAAUCGAGUCAGGCUGAUCAAUCAAAUAUGUCUUCGACACUGGAUGAUGAUGUACAUGUUUCUAUUGCAGAUCUUCUUCC
Molecule: long non-coding RNA, 834 nt
Organism: Solanum pennellii
Lineage: Eukaryota; Viridiplantae; Streptophyta; Magnoliopsida; Solanales; Solanaceae
Exons: 4
Source: RefSeq, a predicted model, not a curated record